GUGCCAGCAGCCGCGGUAAUACGGAGGGUGCAAGCGUUAAUCGGAAUUACUGGGCGUAAAGCGUGUGUAGGUGGUUCGUUAAGUCGGAUGUGAAAGCCCCGGGCUCAACCUGGGAACUGCAUUCGAUACUGACGGACUAGAGUUUAGCAGAGGAAAGCGGAAUUCCGGGUGUAGCGGUGAAAUGCGUAGAUACCCGGAGGGACACCAGUGGCGAAGGCGGCUUUCUGGGUUAAAACUGACACUGAGGCACGAAAGCGUGGGUAGCAAACAGGAUUAGAUACCCUGGUAGUCCACGCCCUAAACGAUGUCGACUGGCUGUCGGGUUCAUUUGGAACUUGGUAGCGAAGCUAACGCGUUAAGUCGACCGCCUGGGGAGUACGGCCGCAAGGUUGAAACUCAAAUGAAUUGACGGGG
This 414-nucleotide ribosomal RNA is filed under the name uncultured prokaryote. Its description in RNAcentral is "bacterial SSU rRNA". It matches the Rfam family "Bacterial small subunit ribosomal RNA", at positions 505 to 918 of the family's 1533-position model. The record is from RNAcentral.